GUGUCUGUAGCUCAACGGUAGAGCGCCCGGCCGUGGCCCGGGUCGUUGCCGGUUCGAAUCCGGUCAGGCACC
This 72-nucleotide transfer RNA is filed under the name Planctomycetota bacterium. Its description in RNAcentral is "tRNA-His". It matches the Rfam family "tRNA". Rfam says of the family: Transfer RNA (tRNA) molecules are approximately 80 nucleotides in length. Their secondary structure includes four short double-helical elements and three loops (D, anti-codon, and T loops). The record is from RNAcentral. Lineage: Bacteria; Pseudomonadati; Planctomycetota.